CCUGGAAAGGGCACGUGGGAACAGGCAUGGUGCUGUGCUGUCCUGGUUUCUCAUUCAGAAACGUCAGCUGGGGCCGCGCAUCUGCUCGCAUCGCAUGGCCCCUGGGCAUCCCCAGGCUGGACAGAGGCUCAAGGGGCCAGCUGCUUACAGGCCCAGGCCCGGGUCCGCCAUCGGGUCCUGCCACAAGCCCAGCUCUGGGCCCUCCUCGGGCUCCCACCUGGUAGGACAGAUGCCUGUUUGACCCCUGGCCUCAGGAGUCCCUGUCCCCAGGCCUCUCUCCCACCAGCUCCAUCACGGACCCCGCCACUGCGGACCCAGGUGGAAACCUCGUCUCCAGGAAGCCCCCGCCUGGCCCUCUGCAGCAGAAGCUCUAGGGCGGGGCGCCCUCUGCAAUCUCACCCUCCCAUGGUCCCUCUGAGUAAUUCCCGAGAGGCGUGGGCAGCCCGUGUAGCCUAUGCCACACUGACCCUGGCGCCACACUGACCCUCAACGUGGGAGCAGGGGGUGAAGUGAAUAAGUUAGUGGAGUGGCCAAGGCCCAGCUAACUCUGACUCCGAACUGCAGGUGAGGACCAGCUGAGGAGAACUGGGCCUCAUUAGCAGGUCCCUGGCCACCCCAGUCCCUGUACUGUGUGUCCCCAAGGCAGCCCAUUGUGGGCCUGCAAAGGAAGGGACCACUGGCUGAGCCCCACCUGCGUGGGCAGGGGUGCCUGAAGUGCCACAGGGAGGCCUGGGUGAGCUGCACGGGGGCCUGGGGAGGGCCACCUCGCCCCCGGCACAUCUCCCAG
RNAcentral lists this long non-coding RNA (787 nucleotides) under Marmota monax (woodchuck). The record is from RNAcentral. Lineage: Eukaryota; Metazoa; Chordata; Mammalia; Rodentia; Sciuridae.